GCAGUCGAACGCUUCAGCAAUGAAGAGUGGCAGACGGGUGAGUAACGCGUGGGAACCUUCCCAGUGGUACGGAAUAGCCCAGGGAAACUUGGGGUAAUACCGUAUAAGCCCUUAGGGGGAAAGAUUUAUCGCCAUUGGAUGGGCCCGCGUCGGAUUAGCUUGUUGGUGAGGUAAAAGCUCACCAAGGCGACGAUCCGUAGCUGGUCUGAGAGGAUGAUCAGCCACACUGGGACUGAGACACGGCCCAGACUCCUACGGGAGGCAGCAGUGGGGAAUAUUGGACAAUGGGCGCAAGCCUGAUCCAGCCAUGCCGCGUGAGUGACGAAGGCCUUAGGGUUGUAAAGCUCUUUUGGCGGGGACGAUAAUGACGGUACCCGCAGAAUAAGCUCCGGCUAACUUCGUGCCAGCAGCCGCGGUAAUACGAAGGGAGCUAGCGUUGUUCGGAAUUACUGGGCGUAAAGCGCACGUAGGCGGACUUGUUAGUCAGGGGUGAAAUCCCGGGGCCCAACCUCGGAACUGCCUUUGAUACUGCAAGUCUGGAGUCCGGAAGAGGUGGGUGGAAUUCCUAGUGUAGAGGUGAAAUUCGUAGAUAUUAGGAAGAACACCGGUGGCGAAGGCGGCCCACUGGUCCGGUACUGACGCUGAGGU
This 648-nucleotide ribosomal RNA is filed under the name uncultured bacterium. Its description in RNAcentral is "bacterial SSU rRNA". It matches the Rfam family "Bacterial small subunit ribosomal RNA", at positions 57 to 752 of the family's 1533-position model. The record is from RNAcentral.